CAAUAGCAUAUAUUAAUGUUGUUGCAGUUAAAAAGCUCGUAGUUGGAUUUCUGCUGGAGUGCCGAUGUCCGCCCGUGUGCGUGUGCAGCGGCGCCCCUGCAUCCUUCGGUUACCUCCGCUCGGCAUUCACUUGCCGGCGGUUGGCUCCGAAUAUUUACCUUGAGAAAAUUAGAGUGUUUCAGGCAGGCUAAGCCGGAAUACAUUAGCAUGGAAUAAUAGAAUAGGACUACGGUCUCGUUGUUGGUUUGAGGGACUGGAGUAAUGAUUAAUAGGGAUAGUUGGGGGCAUUAGUAUUUAAUUGUCAGAGGUGAAAUUCUCAGAUUAACUAAAGACUAACUUAUGCGAAANCANNNGCCAAGGAUGUUUUCAUNAA
Molecule: ribosomal RNA, 373 nt
Filed under: uncultured eukaryote
Lineage: Eukaryota
Description: partial 18S ribosomal RNA
Rfam family: Eukaryotic small subunit ribosomal RNA
Source: RNAcentral